RNAcentral lists this long non-coding RNA (325 nucleotides) under Homo sapiens (human). Its description in RNAcentral is "HSALNT0392964". The record is from RNAcentral. Lineage: Eukaryota; Metazoa; Chordata; Mammalia; Primates; Hominidae.
GCACCGCCGCCGCCCGCCGCGGGAGGCUUCCGCGGAGACUCAGGGCUGCAGAGCCAGCGGAGGCUGAAGGAAGAGAAAGGUGUUAAGGAGAAGUAACCUGCCUAAGGAGGAGCACUUGAGAAGAAAUGACAUCAAAGAUGUACAAAGUUAUCAUCAGAAAAACAAUGAAGGCCAGGUGCGGUGGCUCAUGCCUAUAAUCCCAGCAAUCUCAUCUCUACAAAAAAUAAAAAAUCAAAAAUCAGCCAGGUAUGGUGGCAUGUACCUGUAGUUCCAGCUACUCAGGAGGCUGAGGUGGGAGGAUACUUUGAGCCUGGGAGGUUGAGGG